UGGGCAGUUGGAGAAGGAUGCUUGCGG
RNAcentral lists this non-coding RNA (27 nucleotides) under Rattus norvegicus (Norway rat). The record is from RNAcentral. Lineage: Eukaryota; Metazoa; Chordata; Mammalia; Rodentia; Muridae.